AAUGCUUUUCACAUGCAAGUCGAACGGCAGCACGGACUUCGGUCUGGGGGCAACCUCUCGAGAGUGGCGAACGGGUGAGUAAUAUAUCGGAACGUGCCCAGUCGUGGGGGAUAACGUAGCGCAAGAUACGCUAAUACCGCAUACGAUCUCCGGAUGAAAGCGGGGGAUUGCAAGACCUAGCGCGAUUGGAGCGGCCGAUAUCAGGAUAAGUAGUUGGUGGGGUAAAGGCUCACGAGGACAACGAUCUGUAGCUGGUCUGAGAGCACGACCAGCCACACUGGAACUGAGACACGGUCCAGACUCCUACGGGAGGCAGCAGUGGGGAAUUUUGGACAAUGGACGCAAGUCUGAUCCAGCCAUUCCGCGUGCAGGAUGAAGGCCCUCGGGUUGUAAACUGCUUUUGUACGGAACGAAAAGGUCUCUCUUAAUACGGGGGACUCAUGACGGUACCGUAAGAAUAAACACCGGCUAACUACGUGCCAGCCGCCGCCGUAA
Molecule: ribosomal RNA, 495 nt
Filed under: uncultured bacterium
Lineage: Bacteria
Description: partial 16S ribosomal RNA
Rfam family: Bacterial small subunit ribosomal RNA
Source: RNAcentral